RNAcentral lists this ribosomal RNA (347 nucleotides) under Actinomycetota bacterium. RNAcentral describes it as "bacterial SSU rRNA". It matches the Rfam family "Bacterial small subunit ribosomal RNA", at positions 1 to 349 of the family's 1533-position model. The record is from RNAcentral. Lineage: Bacteria; Bacillati; Actinomycetota.
UCAACGGAGAGUUUGAUCCUGGCUCAGGACGAACGCUGGCGGCGUGCCUAACACAUGCAAGUCGAGCGGUAAGGCUCCUUCGGGAGUACACGAGCGGCGAACGGGUGAGUAACACGUGAGCAACCUGCCCUUCACAUCGGAAUAACCCCGGGAAACCGGGGCUAAUACCGAAUACGACCACCGACGACAUCGUCUGGUGGUGGAAAGCUCCGGCGGUGAGGGAUGGGCUCGCGGCCUAUCAGCUAGUUGGUGGGGUAACGGCCCACCAAGGCGACGACGGGUAGCCGGCCUGAGAGGGUGAUCGGCCACACUGGGACUGAGACACGGCCCAGACUCCUACGGGAGGC